This 245-nucleotide ribosomal RNA is filed under the name uncultured bacterium. Its description in RNAcentral is "partial 16S ribosomal RNA". It matches the Rfam family "Bacterial small subunit ribosomal RNA", at positions 524 to 764 of the family's 1533-position model. The record is from RNAcentral.
UACAGAGACCUCAAGCGUUAUCCGGAAUCAUUGGGCGUAAAGCGUACCGAUCGGCGGUUUUGCAAGUCAGAAGUGAAAUCUCUCAGCUUAACUGGGAGAAUGUCUUUUGAAACUGCAAAGCUAGAGGGGCAAAGAGGAAGCUGGAACGAACGGUGUAGUAGUGAAAUGCGUUGAUAUCGUUCGGAACACCAAUAGCGAAGGCAAGCUUCUGGGUGCCACCUGACGCUGCUAGGACGAAAGCGUGG